RNAcentral lists this ribosomal RNA (297 nucleotides) under Triticum aestivum (bread wheat). RNAcentral's name for it is "partial small subunit ribosomal RNA". It matches the Rfam family "Eukaryotic large subunit ribosomal RNA", at positions 1890 to 2184 of the family's 3401-position model. Lineage: Eukaryota; Viridiplantae; Streptophyta; Magnoliopsida; Poales; Poaceae. The record is from RNAcentral.
AUGGAACAAUGUUGGCAAGGGAAGUCGGCAAAAUGGAUCCGUAACUUCGGGAAAAGGAUUGGCUCUGAGGACUGGGCUCGGGGGUCCCGGCCCCGAACCCGUCGGCUGUCGGCGGAUUGCUCGAGCUGCUCACGCGGCGAGAGCGGGUCGCCGCGUGCCGGCCGGGGGACGGACCGGGAAUCGCCCCUUCGGGGGCUUUCCCCGAGCAUGAAACAGUCGACUCAGAACUGGUACGGACAAGGGGAAUCCGACUGUUUAAUUAAAACAAAGCAUUGCGAUGGUCCUCGCGGAUGCUGA